UACAGAGGGUGCAAGCGUUAAUCGGAAUUACUGGGCGUAAAGCGUGCGUAGACGGUUAUGUAAGUCAGAUGUGAAAGCCCCGGGCUCAACCUGGGAAUUGCAUUUGAGACUGCAUAGCUAGGGUGCGGAAGAGGGAAGCGGAAUUUCCGGUGUAGCGGUGAAAUGCGUAGAUAUCGGAAGGAACACCAGUGGCGAAGGCGGGUCUCUGGGCCGAUACUGACGCUGAGGAGCGAAAGCGUGGGGAGCGAACAGG
RNAcentral lists this ribosomal RNA (253 nucleotides) under uncultured bacterium. RNAcentral describes it as "partial 16S ribosomal RNA". It matches the Rfam family "Bacterial small subunit ribosomal RNA", at positions 524 to 776 of the family's 1533-position model. The record is from RNAcentral.